This 686-nucleotide long non-coding RNA is filed under the name Capsicum annuum. Its description in RNAcentral is "long non-coding RNA (CANN_LNC004622)". Lineage: Eukaryota; Viridiplantae; Streptophyta; Magnoliopsida; Solanales; Solanaceae. The record is from RNAcentral.
CUCAAUCCAAAUAUCCUACAAAGCGUCUAAAUCUUACGUAGACCACAAAGAAAUCAAUCCCCAAACAAUCAAUAUUUUCAAACAAGGUUGGAAACUAAUCUAAUUCAUGCUCACACACACUCACAAGAGAGUAAUUAUUCAUUAGCAUUAAAGUUAAUCUACAAAUGAAAGGGAAACUCCUAUUUAUAGCCUAGGGCUAAUUAUUACAAUAUUGGGCUCAAAAGUUAUCCAUUUCUGAAAAUUGGGCAUAUGCCCAUGCACCCAAAUGGCCUGCUCAUGCAUGUGACACUAGAGUGACAUGCUAAGGUCACAUACGACCGCAUGUUCUCUCCUGCAUCCACAUGUGGUAAUGCAUUUCCCUUAAGUUCUUCUCCAAACUCGUCGAUGCUUCUUUUUUUCUUUGCCAAGGCCCUUUACCUUCUUGGAUGUAAUCACCAUCCUUUGGCACCCUUUUAAUAACAUUGAGUGGUCUUCAAACAUCUCUCUCUUCAUGUUCAUCCUAUCAGGGUGUCCAGAAGCAUUUUGGAUUGUUUCAAUAAUGGUAUGGCGAAAGAAAAAUCGAAUAUGAUAUGGUGAUGAUAAGGAGAAAAUUAAUGAUGGUUAUGAUGGUCGAACAUAAUUUUUUUAGUGAAAUGAGAUAUGGAGUGGAUGUAGUUAGCAAUGAAAAAGAUUUAUUAAUAAAGUUU